Non-coding RNA from Pelobates cultripes (western spadefoot toad), 339 nucleotides. The record is from the annotation of a GenBank genome assembly. Lineage: Eukaryota; Metazoa; Chordata; Amphibia; Anura; Pelobatidae.
CUCUUUAAUAUUUUUAUUAGUGAUAUUGCAGAAGGUCUUGAUGGUAAGGUAUGUCUUUUUGCUGAUGAUACUAAGAUAUGUAACAGGGUUGAUGUUCCAGAAGGGAUAAGCCAAAUGGCACAUGAUUUAGGUAAACAGAAAAAUGGUCAGAUUGUGGCAACUGACAUUUAAUGUGGAUAAGUGCAAGAUAAUGCAGUUUGGACAUAAAAACCCAAGGGCAGAGUACAGAAUAUUUGAUAGAGUCCUAACCUCAACAUCUGAGGAAAGGGAUUUAGGGGUGAUUAUUUCUGAUGACUUAAAGGUAGGCAGACAAUGUAAUAGAGCAGCAGGAAAUGCUAG